This is a non-coding RNA of Brachypodium distachyon (stiff brome), 136 nucleotides long. NCBI's taxonomy places the organism in Eukaryota, Viridiplantae, Streptophyta, Magnoliopsida, Poales, Poaceae. The record is from Rfam.
GAAAUACUUCCUCCGUCCAACAAAGGAUGUCUUAACUUUGACUAAACUUGAAAGCAUCUAUACACUAAGUCAUGUCUAGAUACAUCCAAAAAAUUUCAAACUUGAGACAUAUUUUGCUGGACGGAGGGAGUAAUAU